Molecule: unclassified non-coding RNA, 328 nt
Filed under: plant metagenome
Description: partial contains small subunit ribosomal RNA, internal transcribed spacer 1, and 5.8S ribosomal RNA
Source: RNAcentral
UUUCCGUAGGUGAACCUGCGGAAGGAUCAUUAAAUAGUACCACAGAUUACAUAUGCAAAUAUGACAAUCUACUACUAUAUACCAUUCCGAGUACUCUUUUUCCAUGUUGCUUCCGCGAGGCAGUCACCUCAAGUGGCCGUUUGCUCCGGAUCUCCCUUCUUGGAGAGCCGGCUGUGGGCGAGAUUUCCUUGCGAAAGGUCAAUUACAAAUCCAAUUAUGUUUUUAUUUUGUGUCUGAAUAGAUUUUUUUUUCUUUCUUUUCUUAAUUAAUAAAUACAAAAAAAAUAAAAUAAAGUACAAAACUUUCAACAACGGAUCUCUUGGUUCUC